RNAcentral lists this ribosomal RNA (497 nucleotides) under uncultured bacterium. RNAcentral's name for it is "partial 16S ribosomal RNA". It matches the Rfam family "Bacterial small subunit ribosomal RNA", at positions 28 to 507 of the family's 1533-position model. The record is from RNAcentral.
GAUGAACGCUGGCGGCGUGCCUAAUACAUGCAAGUCGAGCGAACGGACGAGAAGCUUGCUUCUCUGAUGUUAGCGGCGGACGGGUGAGUAACACGUGGAUAACCUACCUAUAAGACUGGGAUAACUUCGGGAAACCGGAGCUAAUACCGGAUAAUAUUUUGAACCGCAUGGUUCAAAAGUGAAAGACGGUCUUGCUGUCACUUAUAGAUGGAUCCGCGCUGCAUUAGCUAGUUGGUAAGGUAACGGCUUACCAAGGCAACGAUGCAUAGCCGACCUGAGAGGGUGAUCGGCCACACUGGAACUGAGCCACGGUCCAGGCUCCUACGGGAGGCAGCAGUAGGGAAUCUUCCGCAAUGGGCGAAAGCCUGACGGAGCAACGCCGCGUGAGUGAUGAAGGUCUUCGGAUCGUAAAACUCUGUUAUUAGGGAAGAACAUAUGUGUAAGUAACUGUGCACAUCUUGACGGUACCUAAUCAGAAAGCCACGGCUAACUACGUG